Molecule: ribosomal RNA, 532 nt
Filed under: Protolestes fickei
Lineage: Eukaryota; Metazoa; Arthropoda; Insecta; Odonata; Megapodagrionidae
Description: partial 16S ribosomal RNA
Rfam family: Bacterial large subunit ribosomal RNA
Source: RNAcentral
GUCCUUCUGAUUAGUUAGUAGGUCUGACCUGCCCAGUGAUUUAUUUUAACGGCCGCAGUAUUUUGACUGUGCAAAGGUAGCAUAAUCAUUAGUCCUUUAAUAGGGGGCUGGUAUGAAAGGUUUGACGAAGUAUUAUCUGUCUCAUUUUAAUAUAGUAAAAUUUAUCUUUUAAGUCAAAAGACUUAGAUUUUGUUGGAAGACGAGAAGACCCUAUAGAGCUUUAUAGAUUGCCUUUUAAUUUUUUUUGUUUAAAAAUUCUUUUUAAUUUAGUUAUUUAUUUUAUUGGGGUGAUAAAGGAUAUAAUAUAAACUUCCAUUAUUUAUUGAGCAUUAAUUUAUGUUUUUAAAGAUCCAUUAUUAUUGAUUAUUAGAUUAAGUUACCUUAGGGAUAACAGCGUAAUCUUUCUUGGGAGUUCUCAUUUGCAGGAAGGCUUGCGACCUCGAUGUUGGAUUAAGAUUAUGAUUAGGUGUAGUUGCUUAGUUAAUAGGUCUGUUCGACCUUUAAAUUCUUACAUGAUCUGAGUUCAGACCGG